RNAcentral lists this long non-coding RNA (1393 nucleotides) under Homo sapiens (human). RNAcentral describes it as "HSALNT0394126". Lineage: Eukaryota; Metazoa; Chordata; Mammalia; Primates; Hominidae. The record is from RNAcentral.
CUGGACUCUUCCCUAAGGUUCUCUCCCUCAUCCAAUGACUGUGGGCAUGUGCUGUGCCAUGGUGUGAAGCUGGGUCUUCCUUUGUGCAAGCUGGGCUGAAUUCAACUGUCCAGAUAGAAAGGUGGACAUGGAAAAAUUGGGCUUUGCAAAUGGUCACCCAAUUCUUGCCUUCCUGGUCUCCAGAUCACCCUUCCUAUACCGCCACUCUGGAGAAAGAAGUACAGAACGCUAACAAGCACUCACAGUGUGUGCUACCCUUCUGCAUGGUGGAAUUGUGGGGAAGUAACUACUAGCCAGAGACUACCUCAAGGCCUCUUUCAUCAAGGAGAGGCCCAUAUGAUUAGUUUUCACCAGUGAGGUAUGAAUGAAAGUGAUGUGUGCCAAUUUUAGGCCAAGUUGGGUAGGAAGUGGGGGUGUCAUCUUCAUUUUCUCCUUCCCAAUCAACCCAGCUAGAUACAGAGGACCUAACAUACAACUCAGAGUCCCUAGAAGAUGGAGAAAACACAGACAAUUGGCAGAGGAGAUGAGCAUGUGAUUAUUGUUACCACUUGUCUGGAAGCAACCAGAAUGGAGUGGGGAAGACUCAAGGAGGAGAUCUUCACAGGACUCACCUCUCAUCACAGCUCCCGUGUGGUUGUAAUCACCCCAGAGGGAAAAAUAAUUUCGGUUUUUUAUGGUUUAAUUAUUGGUGAUAGCAGCUGUUUUGAAGACACAAACACAGAAGCAAGUUCUAGAACAUACUCACAGUUUCCUUGGUCACAGUGUUGUCAGUGGUUCUAUAAAGGUCUUAUGAAUCUCUACUUAGUUGACCACAAGUAGUAAGCAAGAAACAAUCCUGUAAAGAGAAUGGAGGUCAGAAUAAAGAAGCCUUGAGGGUUUAAAUCGCUUCUUGAAAAGAAAUGCCCGUGUGUCAAGGAGCUAAGGGAGACCAGCCCAGGAGGAGCUGAAUCCUGCCAACAAUCACUUGAGUGAACUUGAGAGUGAAUCCUCUCCAUGUUAAGCCUUGAGGUGAUUGUAGCUCCAUCAAAUACCUUCAUUGUAGCCUUGUGAGAGAUCUGAGUCAGAGGAUGGAGUUAAGCCAAGCCCAGAUUCCAGACCCUCAGAAACUUGAAAGCGGAAUACCUGGUUAUCCGGAGGUCACUGUCUCCACACAGAGUGGUGUCCUUGAUGCUAGCUUGGGGCAAAGAAGCCAGGCCAGCUUGUGGUUGCAAUAGGAAUAGAAGAGACUUCCUUACUCCAAUCCCACCCUACCCCCUCAUCCUGCCUCAACCAGUCAUGCAGAGAGAUGCUGAAUGGCUGCCUGCUCUCAGGGGAAUGAUUUGUGGAGGUUUAAUUAAAAUAAUUUAAUCAAUCAAAUCCAACAAAUAUUCGCUGAGUACCUACCAUAGUUAAG